UACGUAGGGGGCAAGCGUUAUCCGGAUUUACUGGGUGUAAAGGGAGCGUAGACGGCCAGACAAGUCUGAAGUGAAAAUCCAGCGCUUAACGUUGGAAGUGCUUUGGAAACUGCCGGGCUGGAGUGCAGGAGGAGCAGGCGGAAUUCCUAGUGUAGCGGUGAAAUGCGUAGAUAUUAGGAGGAACACCAGUGGCGAAGGCGGCCUGCUGGACUGCAACUGACGUUGAGGCUCGAAGGCGUGGGGAGCAAACAGG
RNAcentral lists this ribosomal RNA (253 nucleotides) under uncultured bacterium. Its description in RNAcentral is "partial 16S ribosomal RNA". It matches the Rfam family "Bacterial small subunit ribosomal RNA", at positions 524 to 776 of the family's 1533-position model. The record is from RNAcentral.